GGGUGAAUGUGAAAUGAGUGAGCUGUAUCAAUUCUCUCUAGUCCUAUCUUCUUCUUCUUGUUCAAAUGGAAGAUGGUGGAAGAUGGAUGUGGGGACCUUGAAGUGUACUCUCUCUCUAUAUAUCUCUCUUUCUCUCUCUAUAUAUCUCUUUCUCACUCUCUACAAUCUUACUAUCGAUCUUCUUUGGGGUGAGGGAGAUCUGGAUUGCAACGAAUCAGUGGCCAACAAGUGGACCAGUCUUACCCAAAACGAUGCCGUUUUUUUCACAUGAAAGCCGUGCAAGAAAAUUCUAACCACAAAUUCAAAGGAGCAACACACAUCAUAUUUACCUGCCAGAAGGAAGUGAAGCACCCACAAAGUCUAAAGUGACAGGCCACAACAAGCAUGAUCAAUCAAGUGAAGUAUACACCUGGGACCCAAAAUCUAUACUCAAUUUGAAGAUCCCAGAGCCAUAGGAGGUUUCAUUAUGCAGGGAAGAACAACAAAUCUAUACUCAAUUUGAAGAUCCCAGAGCCAUAGGAGGAGGUUUCAUUAUGCAGAGAAGAACAACAAUCACUAAACCAAUCAAGCCAUUUGUGGGCGACAAGACGAAAAGUUGUGCAGACAAGAAGAAGAUUUGUGGGCGACAGACGAUAGACGAUAAAUCACAGACGAGAAGCACAAAUACCAAUGAAGCAGAGAAGCAAGCAGUAGUAGUAGUAGUGUAGUAGACACACCUCGACAUAAAAAAAGAAAAUGCAUCAAACUUUAUUAUUCGGAUGGAUGAUCUAUAUCUUAUCUAUUCUUAAAACUU
Long non-coding RNA from Impatiens glandulifera, 793 nucleotides. RefSeq lists it as uncharacterized. The record is from RefSeq and is a predicted model, not a curated record. NCBI's taxonomy places the organism in Eukaryota, Viridiplantae, Streptophyta, Magnoliopsida, Ericales, Balsaminaceae. The transcript is spliced from 2 exons.